UAUGGGGUUAUGGGGUGGUGGGGUGGAUAUGGGGUUAUGGGGUUAUGGGGUGGAUAUGGGGUUAUGGGGUUAUGGGGUGGAUAUGGGGUUAUGGGGUGGAUAUGGGGUUAUGGGGUUAUGGGGUUUAUGGGGUAUAUGGGGGCUAUGGGGUCUAUGGGGUCUAUGGGGUCUAUGGGGGCUAUGGGGUAUAUGGGGUCUAUGGGGGCUAUGGGGACUAUGGGGUCUAUGGGGUCUAUGGGGUUUGGGUGACCCUAUAUGGGGGCUAUGGGGUUUAUGGGGUUUGGGUGACCCUAUAUGGGGGCUAUGGGAGCUAUGGGGUCUAUGGGGGCUAUGGGAGCUAUGGGCUCUAUGGGGUCUGUGGGGUCUAUGGGGUCUGUAGGGCCUAUGGGGUCUAUGGGGUCUAUGGGGUCUAUGGGUUGGAUAUGGGGUUAUGGGGUUAUGGGGUCUGUGGGGUAUAUGGGGUCUGUGGGGUCUAUGGGGGUGUAUGGGGUCUGUGGGGUUUAUAGGGUCUAUGGGGGUCUAUGGGUUCUAUGGGGUAUAUGGGGUCUGUGGGGUCUAUGGGGGCUAUGGGGUUUGGGUGACCCUAUAUGGGGUCUAUGGGGUCUAUGGGGUUGGAUGUGGCUGGAGCAGUUUGAGAUGGCGCUGUAUGGAAACCCCAUAGAUCUUAUGGGGUUAUGGGCUCCAACGUGUUUCCCGCACACGCUCAGUCGGACGGACACGACUUCGCCAUGUGCUCAUUCGAGGAGACCACGACAUGCAGGGCCUGUACCAUGCUAUUGAGGUGGGUAUAGGGGAUAUAGGGUUAUAUAGGGUUAUUAUGGGGUCAUAUAGGGGAUAUAGGGUCAUAUAGGGUUAUUAUGGGGUUAUGGGUUACUGCAGGGCCUGUACCAUGCUAUUGAGGUGGGAUAUAGGGGAUAUAGGGGAUAUGGGGUUAUAUAGGGUCAUAUAGGGGAUAUAGGGUAUGGGGAGACCACAACCUGCAGGGCCUGUACCACGUUAAUGAGGUGGGACAUAUAGGGUUAUAUGGGGUUAUAUAGGGUUAUUAUGGGGUCAUAUAGGGUUAUAUAGGGGAUAUAGGGUCAUAU
This 1085-nucleotide long non-coding RNA is filed under the name Coturnix japonica (Japanese quail). RNAcentral's name for it is "lncRNA (ENSCJPG00005001060.1)". The record is from RNAcentral. Lineage: Eukaryota; Metazoa; Chordata; Aves; Galliformes; Phasianidae.